UACGGAGGGUGCAAGCGUUAAUCGGAAUUACUGGGCGUAAAGCGCGCGUAGGCGGUUUGUUAAGUCGGAUGUGAAAGCCCCGGGCUCAACCUGGGAACUGCAUACGGUACUGGCAAGCUAGAGUGCAAUAGAGGGGAGUAGAAUUCCAGGUGUAGCGGUGAAAUGCGUAGAUAUCUGGAGGAAUACCGGUGGCGAAGGCGGCCCCCUGGAUUGACACUGACGCUGAGGUGCGAAAGCGUGGGUAGCAAACAGG
Molecule: ribosomal RNA, 253 nt
Filed under: uncultured Gammaproteobacteria bacterium
Lineage: Bacteria; Pseudomonadati; Pseudomonadota; Gammaproteobacteria
Description: partial 16S ribosomal RNA
Rfam family: Bacterial small subunit ribosomal RNA
Source: RNAcentral